This 276-nucleotide ribosomal RNA is filed under the name uncultured bacterium. RNAcentral's name for it is "partial 16S ribosomal RNA". It matches the Rfam family "Bacterial small subunit ribosomal RNA", at positions 399 to 691 of the family's 1533-position model. The record is from RNAcentral.
GCGUGAACGAUGAAGGCCUUCGGGUUGUAAAGUUCUUUUGACCGGGAUGAGGAAGGACAGUACCGGUCGAAUAAGUCUCGGCUAACUACGUGCCAGCAGCCGCGGUAACACGUAGGAGACGAGCGUUAUCCGGAUUUACUGGGUGUAAAGCGCGUGCAGGCGGUAUGGUAAGUUGGAUGUGAAAGCUCCUGGCUUAACUGGGAGAGGUCGUUCAAAACUACCAGACUAGAGGACAGCAGAGGGGAGUGGAAUUCCGAGUGUAGCGGUAAAAUGCAU